RNAcentral lists this ribosomal RNA (1401 nucleotides) under uncultured bacterium. RNAcentral's name for it is "bacterial SSU rRNA". It matches the Rfam family "Bacterial small subunit ribosomal RNA". The record is from RNAcentral.
AGAGUUUGAUCCUGGCUCAGAUUGAACGCUGGCGGCAGACCUAACACAUGCAAGUCGAACGGUAACAGGAAGAAGCUUGCUUCUUUGCUGACGAGUGGCGGACGGGUGAGUAAUGUCUGGGAAACUGCCUGAUGGAGGGGGAUAACUACUGGAAACGGUAGCUAAUACCGCAUAACGUCGCAAGACCAAAGAGGGGGACCUUCGGGCCUCUUGCCAUCGGAUGUGCCCAGAUGGGAUUAGCUAGUAGGUGGGGUAACGGCUCACCUAGGCGACGAUCCCUAGCUGGUCUGAGAGGAUGACCAGCCACACUGGAACUGAGACACGGUCCAGACUCCUACGGGAGGCAGCAGUGGGGAAUAUUGCACAAUGGGCGCAAGCCUGAUGCAGCCAUGCCGCGUGUAUGAAGAAGGCCUUCGGGUUGUAAAGUACUUUCAGCGGGGAGGAAGGGAGUAAAGUUAAUACCUUUGCUCAUUGACGUUACCCGCAGAAGAAGCACCGGCUAACUCCGUGCCAGCAGCCGCGGUAAUACGGAGGGUGCAAGCGUUAAUCGGAAUUACUGGGCGUAAAGCGCACGCAGGCGGUUUGUUAAGUCAGAUGUGAAAUCCCCGGGCUCAACCUGGGAACUGCAUCUGAUACUGGCAAGCUUGAGUCUCGUAGAGGGGGGUAGAAUUCCAGGUGUAGCGGUGAAAUGCGUAGAGAUCUGGAGGAAUACCGGUGGCGAAGGCGGCCCCCUGGACGAAGACUGACGCUCAGGUCCGAAAGCGUGGGGAGCACAUCAAAGGUAGAUACCCUGGUAGUCCACGCCGUAAACGAUGUGGACUUGGAGUGGUGCCCUUGAGGCGUGGCUUCCGGAGCUAACGCGUUAAGUCGACCGCCUGGGGAGUACGGCCGCAAGGUUAAAACUCAAAUGAAUUGACGGGGGCCCGCACAAGCGGUGGAGCAUGUGGUUUAAUUCGAUGCAACGCGAAGAACCUUACCUGGUCUUGACAUCCACGGAAGUUUUCAGAGAUGAGAAUGUGCCUUCGGGAACCGUGAGACAGGUGCUGCAUGGCUGUCGUCAGCUCGUGUUGUGAAAUGUUGGGUUAAGUCCCGCAACGAGCGCAACCCUUAUCCUUUGUUGCCAGCGGUCCGGCCGGGAACUCAAAGGAGACUGCCAGUGAUAAACUGGAGGAAGGUGGGGAUGACGUCAAGUCAUCAUGGCCCUUACGACCAGGGCUACACACGUGCUACAAUGGCGCAUACAAAGAGAAGCGACCUCGCGAGAGCAAGCGGACCUCAUAAAGUGCGUCGUAGUCCGGAUUGGAGUCUGCAACUCGACUCCAUGAAGUCGGAAUCGCUAGUAAUCGUGGAUCAGAAUGCCACGGUGAAUAAAAGCCCGGGCCUUGCACACACCGCCCGUCA